AUGGAUAAUAGAAUUACAAGGAGGUUAAGAAAGGGGAUCUCAACGGGGAAAAAAUGGCACAUUCAAAAAGAAAUUGAAGAAAGUGUGAAAAAAGGACAGUAUUCAGGGGACCAUCAAAGAAGUGGGCUCCAUGUAGACCCAAACUCACCAUCCUCAGAUCAAGACCUGAGCUGAAAUCAAGAUUUGGAUGCUUAAC
Molecule: long non-coding RNA, 196 nt
Filed under: Mustela putorius furo (domestic ferret)
Lineage: Eukaryota; Metazoa; Chordata; Mammalia; Carnivora; Mustelidae
Description: lncRNA (ENSMPUG00000031804.1)
Source: RNAcentral